Molecule: ribosomal RNA, 270 nt
Filed under: uncultured bacterium
Lineage: Bacteria
Description: partial 16S ribosomal RNA
Rfam family: Bacterial small subunit ribosomal RNA
Source: RNAcentral
GAUUAACGCUAGCGGCAGGCCUAAUACAUGCAAGUCGAGGGGCAGCAGGUGUAGCAAUACAUGCUGGCGACCGGCGCACGGGUGCGUAACACGUAUGUAAUCUUUCCUUAACUGGGGAAUAGCUUUGAGAAAUCAGAAUUAAUACCCCAUAGUAUUACGAGGUGGCAUCAUCUUGUAAUUAAAGCUCCGGCGGUUAAGGGUGAACAUGCGACCCAUUAGCUAGUUGGUGAGGUAACGGCUCACCAAGGCAACGAUGGGUAGGGGUUCUAA